RNA transcript from Glossina fuscipes, 5922 nucleotides. It is a transcript of the gene named putative dual specificity tyrosine-phosphorylation-regulated kinase 3 homolog, with no coding region annotated. The transcript has 9 exons. The record is from RefSeq and is a predicted model, not a curated record. NCBI's taxonomy places the organism in Eukaryota, Metazoa, Arthropoda, Insecta, Diptera, Glossinidae.
AAAACCUUAUUUAGAUAACAAGUGAGAUUAUGAUUAAAAUAUUUCCCCUGAAACAAAAAUUCAUGCGGUUGUUGUCAUCAAGACGAAAGGAAAUAAAAACAAACUGAAUAUAAUAAAUAAUUUGGAACAAAAGUAAUUUUAUCGUUUUAACAACUUAAAAUUAAUGGUUUUGUACCAGCAUUGAAACACUGAGUAUUAACGUCUUCUAUGUGUUUGUAUGUGUAUUUGUGGUUUGGUUACAUGUGCUAAUAUUCAUGAAAAAAGACUUUUUCGCUAUAAUUUGGAAACAAAGUUAUCAAAAAUGCCAUUAUUAAACAAAAAACUUUUUUUUUGAUCCAAAAGUGUUUGUUUGUGUUAGUUCGUGCGUUUCGUGGUGUGCAGUAGCUUGUGCGUACAAAGUGGUAUCUCCAAUAUUUACUCAAUGUUAGUUUCAUGAGUAGGGUGUGUGUAUAUGCGUACGCAUGUAUGGUUUAUUACUCUGAAAAUUAAAACAUUCCAAUUGAGGCGACUUUAAAAAACCCUUAACAACGUCUGUGGUCAUACAGGAUGCCCGUAGGAUUAGGUGCUCCGAAUACUUCUUCUAAUAAGGAAAAGUUAAAGCAGUCGCAUGGAAGGUGCUUUGUUGUACGAGUUUGUCCACAGUUGCAGAUUGGACAAACAGAUUUUUAAGGAUCCAUUGGUGUGCUGCAGUUCGAUGGCCAAAACGAAUUUUCGCAAAUGUUUUAAGCUUGACUUUGUCCGUAUUAGUUGGAUGUAGUGAAAGAAUUAAGUGAGCAUUAACGGAGGAGCUGUGCUGACGGUGGUCCAAUUUUUCCACGAUAGUGUCCUUAACUAGAGGAGCAAAAGCAGCAGAUUUCGCCGCUCGAUCAACUUAUUCAUUGCCGAAUAAACGAAAAAGGCUGGAUGAGCGACGCAGUUUAAUCUUGUUACCGCAUGUUGUGAUAGUGCUCCUUAAUUUGUUGGUGGAACUCCAGUUGGAAGUCCAAGUGUUUCAAAGAGGUUUUAACACGGUCUCUCACCAUCAACCAUCAGUCCCAACCGUCACAAAAGAUAUGUCAUUGCAAACAAAUGUACAGCCAAUAGUGCAGACGUACUCGACUUUUUCAACCGGUCUUCAAUCCCAUGAGAAACAGGGGGUGAAAACUAUAACCACAGCAAAAGCAGAUCCAAGUUACACGUCAGCUAUGGUUACUUCGAAACCAUCAGAUACUACCGAAGCGGUGACAACAUCCACCACGACGGGAAAUAUAGUUAUAACCAAUGCAGAUAGCCUUGAUAAUGCAACUCUGUUAUCAUUUUCAACACGUCCCACAGAAGUGUAUUCAUUUCAUGAGCAAAUUAUUAUGUCUGGUCAACAGAAAUGUUCCAUGCCAGAGAAACCGAAACCAUUAGUUGUUUCGCCGCAACAAGUCAUGAUAUUGUACAUGCAUAAAUUGACGCCAUAUGAGCGCACUGAAAUUCUUUCUUAUCCACAGAUUUAUUUUAUAGGUGCUAAUGCAAAGAAACGUCCCGGCAUUUUUGGGCCCAAUAACUCUGACUAUGACAACGACCAGGGUGCCUAUAUACAUAUACCACAUGACCACGUUGCCUAUCGUUAUGAAAUGCUAAAAAUAAUCGGCAAAGGAAGCUUCGGACAAGUAGUGAAAGCCUAUGAUCACAAAACGCACGAACAUGUUGCCUUAAAGAUGGUACGAAAUGAGAAGCGUUUUCAUCGGCAAGCACAAGAGGAGAUACGCAUAUUGCAUCAUUUACGACGUCAAGAUAAAUACAACACCAUGAAUAUUAUACAUAUGUACGACUACUUCACAUUUCGGAAUCACAUGUGCAUAACAUUUGAAUUGCUUAACAUUAAUCUUUACGAAUUAAUAAAAAAAAAUGGUUUUAAAGGAUUUAGUUUGCAGUUGGUACGAAAAUUUGCCCACUCUUUGCUCCAAUGCUUGGAUGCUUUGUAUAAAAAUGAGAUCAUACAUUGUGACAUGAAACCAGAAAACGUUUUGCUAAAACAACAGGGUCGUUCAGGAAUUAAGGUUAUCGAUUUUGGCUCAUCGUGUUACGAGAGUCAACGUAUUUACACGUACAUACAGUCACGCUUCUAUAGAGCACCAGAGGUAAUACUGGGUGCAAAGUACGGCCGCGCGAUUGACAUGUGGUCGUUGGGUUGUAUUUUGGCCGAAUUGCUGUCGGGACACGCGUUAUUUCCUGGCGAAAAUGAAGCCGAUCAAUUGGCGUGUAUUAUAGAAGUUUUAGGCAUGCCUAAUAAAAGCGUGCUAGCCACUGCAAAACGUACCAAAGUAUUUUUCAAUCCCGAAGGUUAUCCACGUUACUGUACCGUUCGAACCAUGGCUGAUGGCAUGGUAGUAUUAAUUGGGGGACAAUCGAGACGUGGCAAGCAGCGAGGUCCACCUUGCUCGAAAAGUCUAUCUAAAGCGAUCGACGGUUGUAAAGACGCACUAUUUUUAAAUUUUAUACGCGGUUGCUUAGAAUGGGAUCCCGAAAAACGCUUAACACCAAGCGAAGCAUUGAAACAUCCUUGGCUUCGCCGCCGAUUGCCCAAGCCACCUAACGGUACAAAUAGUAUUAUAUGCAGUCAAAGCAGCAAUGGCAGUAACAUUGUCUGUGAUGAAAAGCCGGCUUCAGCAGCAGCACAAUCAGGCUUAUGUGGAGGCGAAGAAAAUAAUCUAUUGAAUAAUGCUGUUACUUCAAAAGACAUUAGCAAAAGUAGUGGAUGCUUUGUGGCUACCGCUGCAGGUGCUGCGAAGAAUGCAGUUGUAUUCAAUUCAUCCUCUAUUUUAUCUAUUGCUUCAGAACCGCUCUGGGAGUUGAACACAGCGUCCGUCGGUAGUAUUGUUGGUCAUCGAUCCAUAGCCGCUGAAUUGUCUGACACGUCUCGGUCUAUCAACUUAAACAGCGUAAUUUCUACAAAUAAUUAUGGUAUGCGGAUAUUUGAUUCAAAUUAGAAAUCAAUAGCCACAGCAAUGCGACCAGCCAGACCGGUUUAUCGCAUGCAGCUAAUUUUGAAACAAUACAAUAAACCAACCCGAUAUUUACGUACAAUAUGUUAUAACAGCUGUAAAUUGAAUAUAAAAUAAAUUCUAAACGCACUUGCUUACUUACAAAUAGGUUGACCAUCACAAAAAGUCUUAAAUUUGAGAAAGCUUCUGAUCAACUGUGUAUCAUUAAUCUUUCCAUACAUCACCAUAUACCGUCGCUGUACUGAUAAAGCGUUAGGAAGCAACAAAUAAAAACUCAUCAUACUACUGAAUACGUUGGUAUUAUCGCCAACAGACCUAACGCAUUUUACUAAAGAAAAUGAAAAAAAAAUCCUUGUUAAAGCAUGGCAGGUGCAAGCUUCGAGAGCAAAGUUGCUUGAUGAAAACGGAUGCAGAAAUGGUUAGAUCUAAUACGUGGUAAAAAGAUGAUCGCAGGAGAAAAAGCAGAAAAAUCGAGUGUAAUGUGUGAAAGAUGAGAUUUAAGCAGCAAAAUAUUGGUUUUAUUAAAAUCAUAAUGCUUAAGUUGGAUUUGACACAUUAGAAUGGUGUGGUUUUAUUAUGCCUUUAAUGAAAGGAAGCACAAAUUGCUGAGUGACAUGGAUUCGCAGGUAAACUAAAAGAUAGAGAGUGAUUUACAACCACCUGUGGGAAGUUGGCGAAGCAAAGAUCUAGCGGUCUGCCAUUACGAUUAGGAGUACGAUUGUAUUUAAAUAAAUUAUGAUCAUAUAGUUUAUUGAAGAACACAAGGGAUAUAGGAGUAAAUUACGUAUAACUGUUUUUUUUGGCAAUUUUCGGUCGACUGGCAAUAAAUUCAACGUUACGAGUAGUAGCAAAUUCAGAUGAAUGGAACGGAACUGCAGCAAAUAUGGCAAUUAAAUAGUAUCACCAGUGCUAUCCACUCGAUUUUUUCAGAAAAUCUGGAAAGAAGCUGCUCCAACAAAAGUAAUUCAGGCUUUAACCAGGCUUCAGUGAAAUCCAAACAGAAAAACAUCGUGGUCAAUGAAUUUAGGAGAGAAGGGCGAAUUUUUGAGUUAAAGCCCGUAAAAUUUUGGUAAAUAAAAGUUAAUGGGCCUGAAGCAACAUUUAGUUUUUUGAGGAUGGAAGAGCUACUGAAUUACUAUUUCGGAGUUGAUCCUGAGUUGAUGAAGCAAGAUAAUAUUUUAUGGUAUUCUUAGAGGUGUCAGGCGCCACUCUUGACACGAAUAUUGCUUUUCUGUAUGGUACUGCCGUCAAGCAAACGUCACUUAUAUUAGAAAUGAUAGAAUGCACAGGUAGAGAAUUUUGAGUAGAAGAGAAAGUAGAGGGAGUGACUACACUUGUUUAUGCAACUUGUGUGAAUUGUCCAGUUGGAUGCCCAGUGGACACACCCGAGCAGCUAGGGAAGAGGCUGAUUUAUUGUCUUUGUUUGAAGAUGUAAAUAGACUAGCAUAGUAAUAGACUCAGCACAGUUGACAUGAGGAGGGUUUUUAGGCUUAUUUGUAAUAUUUUUAUUACUUGCUAAGUUUACGACAGACAAAAAGCUGAUGUUCUUUAUAGGCAGGCAUGAACACUCGAAAUCUUAACCGGAUUCACUAAAGGCAGAUCUCCAAGUUUUAUCGUUAACGUUUAUCGAGCAUUAUGGAUAGGCGUGCAAGAUUAAGCCGAAGACGUAGGUGAAGUACCAGACGCUAUAUUAUAACGUAGUCUUUCACAGGGUGAAGGAGAAGGUAAGUGCAAUAGCACGAAAUUCGUAUACUUGAUAUAUUCAUCCAGUUCUUGUUUAAAUUUGCAUCAACGGAAACACAUACACUUUGGUUACUGACGCUGAUAAGCGUCGUUUCCACAUUCACAUCACUUAUAAAGAGAAUGGAAUGAUUAUUAAUAUUAAAGAAACCCGAAUUUCCGUUGGCAAGUCUAUAAGCCUACCGCCGGAAUUGCCGGCGUACUAGUGCACUCAUUAUACGAUGUUCUUCACCGCAGACUGCGGGGGUGGUUCCAAAAAAACUUAUUUCAUCUGUUUGCUAACGUAUAAGUUAAAUCGGGCCGACAGACGUCAAUUUAAAUUUACAGUCGAACCUUCAUUUGUCUUAACAUUCCUCACUAUUGGCUACGGGCCUCGAGCGCAAAGUAUAUAUGCAACUAACUAUAACAUAUAGUGGUUAAAGAAAUGUAUAUAAUAAUAAUUUUAAUUAACAAAAAAAAAAAAAUUAAAACUAAUUAACAUUAAUAGGUAAUAAAGAAAAAUUUAAUCAUUUAAAAAGGAUUCAGCUGUCCUCCCGUCCCAAUGAUUUAGUUGAGGGACGGGUGUUGACCGUAUUGUAGCAUAAUAAAAACAAAAAUGGAAAAAUAAACCUUUUAUAAUCCAUCUCAAUAUUUCAAUUAACCAAAAAUAAACUGCAAACCUUUUGUUAUGUAAUAGAGAGUACAAGUUGUACUUAAACAUUUUCAUCAGCAAAAUUUCGUAGGUGGCGUUAUUUAGGUCUCAGUAAAAAAAAACAAAUUUGGCAAUUGUGAUAUGUGUGUCACUGGUUUUUCGGAUUACCUCUGUUGAACACCUACAUUCCACUUUUUAUCGAGCAGUCUGCAGAUGGUGACACUCGAGAAGUGCACGUGCGAAAAACGCCUUUAAGAAUCCUUACGGAAUGAUGGACGCAACUUAUCACAUUGGCUGAUCAUAAGAACUGAGCCACUCUACACCUCGCCCUACCUAUGAUCUGCUUCGGUCCAUGAUUUGUAUUGGGGAUCCCGAAAAUGGGUUCUCAAACCCUUACACUGCUUUCCUUUCAUUAAUAAUAAAUAACUCAACAUAUUUUUAUUCACAUAAAACAGGUUGAUUUAUCAUGAUUUUGUAAUAAUCGUAGUAAAAGAAGAUGUGUGUAAGACCUUGUAUAAUUUAUAAAAGCCAUAAGUUAAAUCGAAGAAGAAAAAAAAUUACAAUAAUAAACGAAUAAAA